AUUUUAGUCAUGAAUUCUCAAUAUCAAGUUAGAUGCAGCUCUUGUUCUGUUUUUAAGCUACACAUCUACACACUCACCAGGGUUAACAAGAGUUUGUGAUCUGCUGUAUGUGAUCAGUCUUAAUUUGCUCCAAGUUGACCAAUUUUUGUGAAAAUACUUGGAUUAAAUUUUAUAUUGAACUUGUGUUGCAGGGGGGCACAAUCUGGUUUUAGAGGUGGUCGUGGGGGAGGCAGAGGAGGUGGCCGUGGUGGUGGACGAGGUGGGGGGGGGAUUUCGCGGAAGGGGUGCACCACGUGGUGGUGGCAGAGGCCCUCCUAGAGGUGGUAGCCGUGGUGGUGGCUUCAGGGGCCGUGGGAGAUUUUGAAAUGUCAAAUGUAGUUUUGUUUACUUAUUUUCCCCCUUUAUUCCCCUUUAACUAUAAUAACUUCGACAUUGUUUGACAGUUUAGUAUUAGUAUUCGGUAUCUAGAAGUUGUGUUUUAAGCAUAUUAAUAUUUACCAACUUACCAGAUUACACAUAGUGGUGAGAUUUUGUUGUGUUGUAGAAAAGAAACAUAGAAAGUUUUCUCCCCUAGAUGCCUGCCUGAAGGAAUGCUUUUAAAUACAAACUGCAAAAUAUUUUGUGUUUCUGUACUAUAAAUAGACUGCUUUGCAUAAGCAUUGCUGCAUUAGCAUAGUAGUGUGCAGUUCAUU
This 692-nucleotide long non-coding RNA is filed under the name Aquilegia coerulea. Its description in RNAcentral is "long non-coding RNA (ACOE_LNC000455)". Lineage: Eukaryota; Viridiplantae; Streptophyta; Magnoliopsida; Ranunculales; Ranunculaceae. The record is from RNAcentral.